GACGUAGGGCGCGAGCGUUGUCCGGAUUUAUUAGGCGUAAAGAGCUCGUAGGCGGCUUGUCGCGUCGACUGUGAAAACCCGUGGCUCAACCAUGUGGUCUGCAGUCGAUACGGGCAGGCUAGAAUUCGGUAGGGGAGACUGGAAUUCCUGGUGUAGCGGUGAAAUGCGCAGAUAUCAGGAGGAACACCGGUGGCGAAGGCGGGUCUCUGGGCCGAUAUUGACGCUGAGGAGCGAAAGCGUGGGGAGCGAACAGG
RNAcentral lists this ribosomal RNA (254 nucleotides) under uncultured bacterium. Its description in RNAcentral is "partial 16S ribosomal RNA". It matches the Rfam family "Bacterial small subunit ribosomal RNA", at positions 524 to 776 of the family's 1533-position model. The record is from RNAcentral.